AGUGGUUAUGGUAUUGCACUCACAAUCUGGGGAUCAUGAUUUCAAUUCCUAGACUGAGUGGUGCAUUGUGUUCACGGGCAAAACUAUUUGAC
Long non-coding RNA from Octopus sinensis (East Asian common octopus), 92 nucleotides. RefSeq lists it as uncharacterized. The record is from RefSeq and is a predicted model, not a curated record. The transcript is spliced from 3 exons. Lineage: Eukaryota; Metazoa; Mollusca; Cephalopoda; Octopoda; Octopodidae.